UAGCUCUCUCCUGGUGCUCCCAGUGCUCUUUUAGUGUUUCUUUCUCUGGCUCUACUUCUUCUCCCCAACUCCUCUUUGUUGGUGUCCCCCAAGGUUCAGUCUUUGGUCCCCUACUGUUCUCCAUCUAUACUGCCUCCCUUGGUAAACUCAUUAGCUCCUUUGACUAUCAUUUCUAUGCGGAUGACACGCAAAUCUAUCUGUGCUCUCCUGAUCUCUCCCACUCUUGCCUAGUGUCUCUGACUGCCUCUCUGCUAUUUCUAACUGGAUGGCUGCCCACUUCCUUAAACUCAACUUGACCAAAACUGAAAUUCUGGCCUUUCUUCCCUCAAGUGUUGCUACUCUUGUGUCUGUCUCCCUCCAAGUCAACGUUGCUAUCAUCAGCUUCACCGCACAGACUCGCUGCCUAGGUGUUCUCGUUGACUCAGACCUCUCCACCUCUCAUCUUCAGUCUAUCGCCAAAUCCUGACGCUUCCAUCUCAAAAACAUUGCGCAUAUCCGACCCUACUUAACUCCAGAUGCGACUAAGGUGCAGGUCCAUUCCACUGUCCUUUCUCGCCUUGACUACUAUAAUCUGCUUCUCAGUGGUCUUACUUGCAC
Molecule: non-coding RNA, 597 nt
Organism: Pelobates cultripes (western spadefoot toad)
Lineage: Eukaryota; Metazoa; Chordata; Amphibia; Anura; Pelobatidae
Source: the annotation of a GenBank genome assembly